UUCUAGUUUUGUAACUAAAAUGGUUUGGCAGUGAGCGAUUCUUAUUAGGGGAAUAUGCAUAGUGAAGGAUGGUCCACCUAUUAGUUUACUCUUUUUAUGUUGGUGUAUGUCUGGUUUGAUAUUAUUGUUGAAUAAUUUAAGUUUGUGUAGUUUUAGUUAAGCUAAGUCUAUGUGCUGCUUAUUGGAGUUUUUGUGUGUUACAUUAAUAAGGGUGUUAUUGUAAGAUGAUGUGA
This 233-nucleotide ribosomal RNA is filed under the name Echinococcus granulosus. RNAcentral describes it as "partial large subunit ribosomal RNA". The record is from RNAcentral. Lineage: Eukaryota; Metazoa; Platyhelminthes; Cestoda; Cyclophyllidea; Taeniidae.